Long non-coding RNA from Rhododendron vialii, 318 nucleotides. RefSeq lists it as uncharacterized. The transcript is spliced from 2 exons. Lineage: Eukaryota; Viridiplantae; Streptophyta; Magnoliopsida; Ericales; Ericaceae. The record is from RefSeq and is a predicted model, not a curated record.
CCACCAAUCCAUAUUACACAAAUCCCAUAUUAUUUUUAGAUUCGUAAAAGAGAAAAAUUAGAGCUUCGAUCAAUUCGGACUCGAAGGAGACAUGCCGCCCACCACUCGACACGACGCCGUUAGAAUCAACCCACUACCAUCUCGAAGCAAGGCCUAGGUGACGAACAUGGAGAAUUUUAUGCGGAGCAAUGGUUAUAGAGGAAGACGGAUGCCCUGAAGAGUAGAAUUUACCAUAGUACCCCUCCUUUUUUAUAGUAUAAAUGUAAUUCAAUUCAAGAUUUAUUGUUUUAUAAGACUAAAUUAUGAUUUUAUUUAAAU